GCAGUCGAACGGCAGCGGGAAAGUAGCUUGCUACUUUUGCCGGCGAGUGGCGAACGGGUGAGUAAUGUAUCGGAACGUGCCCAGUAGCGGGGGAUAACUACGCGAAAGCGUGGCUAAUACCGCAUACGCCCUACGGGGGAAAGGGGGGGAUCUUAGGACCUCUCACUAUUGGAGCGGCCGAUAUCGGAUUAGCUAGUUGGUGGGGUAAAGGCCUACCAAGGCGACGAUCCGUAGCUGGUUUGAGAGGACGACCAGCCACACUGGGACUGAGACACGGCCCAGACUCCUACGGGAGGCAGCAGUGGGGAAUUUUGGACAAUGGGGGAAACCCUGAUCCAGCCAUCCCGCGUGUGCGAUGAAGGCCUUCGGGUUGUAAAGCACUUUUGUCAGGGAAGAAAAGGUUUCGGAUAAUACCCGGAACUGAUGACGGUACCUGAAGAAUAAGCACCGGCUAACUACGUGCCAGCAGCCGCGGUAAUACGUAGGGUGCAAGCGUUAAUCGGAAUUACUGGGCGUAAAGCGUGCGCAGGCGGUUCGGAAAGAAAGAUGUGAAAUCCCAGGGCUCAACCUUGGAACUGCAUUUUUAACUACCGAACUAGAGUAUGUCAGAGGGGGGUGGAAUUCCACGUGUAGCAGUGAAAUGCGUAGAUAUGUGGAGGAACACCGAUGGCGAAGGCAGCCCCCUGGGAUAAUACUGACGCUCAUGCACGAAAGCGUGGGGAGCAAACAGGAUUAGAUACCCUGGUAGUCCACGCCCUAAACGAUGUCAACUAGCUGUUGGGCCCUUCGGGGCUUAGUAGCGCAGCUAACGCGUGAAGUUGACCGCCUGGGGAGUACGGUCGCAAGAUUAAAACUCAAAGGAAUUGACGGGGACCCGCACAGCGGUGGAUGAUGUGGAUUAAUUCGAUGCAACGCGAAAACCUUACCUACCCUUGACAUGUCUGGAAUCCUGAAGAGAUUUAGGAGUGCUCGCAGAGACCCGUACACAAGUGCUGCAUGGCUGUCGUCAGCUCGUG
This 1016-nucleotide ribosomal RNA is filed under the name Advenella sp. V5R1E1. RNAcentral describes it as "bacterial SSU rRNA". It matches the Rfam family "Bacterial small subunit ribosomal RNA", at positions 57 to 1064 of the family's 1533-position model. The record is from RNAcentral. Lineage: Bacteria; Pseudomonadati; Pseudomonadota; Betaproteobacteria; Burkholderiales; Alcaligenaceae.